RNAcentral lists this long non-coding RNA (509 nucleotides) under Medicago truncatula (barrel medic). RNAcentral describes it as "long non-coding RNA (MTRU_LNC006393)". Lineage: Eukaryota; Viridiplantae; Streptophyta; Magnoliopsida; Fabales; Fabaceae. The record is from RNAcentral.
UAUCUUCCAUAACUAUGUUCUCUUGUACGAACCCGGUAGAAGCAUCAACAACUGUCAUUAACAGCUGUCCUCGCCGUUCACCUAUGCCGCCGAACAGGUGAUCUGGAUCUUGACCUAUGCUGCCGAACAGGUGAUCUGGAUCUUGACCUAUGCUUCCGAACAGGUGAUCUUGACUUAUGCUUCCGAACAGGUGAUUUUGAUCUUGAUCUAUGCUUCCGAACAGGUGAUCUGGAUCUUGACUUAUGCUUCCGAACAGGUGAUCUGGAUCUUGACCUAUGCUUCCGAACAGGUGAUCUGGAUCUUGACCUAUGCUUCCGAACUGGUGAUUUGGAUCUUGACCUUCUUACCCUGCAUAAAAAGGAAACCCUGUAAAUAAACAAGGCACAGCUGUAGUAUAAAUGGGAACCCAUACAAAUUCACCUGAGUAGCUUAUAUUGUUAUAUGAUGAUGGUAGUUUGUCUCAAAAAUAUAAACCUUAAACAUGAUUAACUUAAUGGCAACAAACCUGG